Molecule: ribosomal RNA, 405 nt
Filed under: bacterium
Lineage: Bacteria
Description: bacterial SSU rRNA
Rfam family: Bacterial small subunit ribosomal RNA
Source: RNAcentral
GCAGAGGAGCCCUAGAGAGCAUCUGCGCCUUCGGGAGCAGAGAGACAGGUGCUGCAUGGCUGUCGUCAGCUCGUGUUGUGAAAUGUUGGGUUAAGUCCCGCAACGAGCGCAACCCUUAUCCUUUGUUGCCAGCGGUCCGUGGGGGAACUCAAAGGAAAAUGCCCGGGAUAAACUGGAGGAAGGGGGGGAAAAACUCAAGUCAUCAUGGCCCUUACAACCAGGGCUACCACCGUGCUACAAUGGCGCAUACAAAAAGAAGCGAACUCCCGAGAGCAAGCGGACCUCAUAAAGUGCGUUCUAAUCCGGAUUGGAGUCUGCAACUCCACUCCAUGAAGUCGGAAUUCCUAGUAAUCCUGGAUCAAAAUGCCACGGUGAAUACGUUCCCGGGCCUUGGUACACCGAAAA